RNAcentral lists this ribosomal RNA (478 nucleotides) under uncultured bacterium. RNAcentral's name for it is "partial 16S ribosomal RNA". It matches the Rfam family "Bacterial small subunit ribosomal RNA", at positions 28 to 523 of the family's 1533-position model. The record is from RNAcentral.
GACGAACGCUGGCGGCGUGCUUAACACAUGCAAGUCGAACGGUAAGGCCCUUCGGGGUACACGAGUGGCGAACGGGUGAGUAACACGUGGGUGAUCUGCCCUGCGCUUCGGGAUAAGCCUGGGAAACUGGGUCUAAUACCGGAUAGGACCACUGCCUGCAUGGGUGGUGGUGGAAAGCUUUUGCGGUGUGGGAUGGGCCCGCGGCCUAUCAGCUUGUUGGUGGGGUGAUGGCCUACCAAGGCGACGACGGGAAGCCGGCCUGAGAGGGUGACCGGCCACACUGGGACUGAGAUACGGCCCAGACUCCUACGGGAGGCAGCAGUGGGGAAUAUUGCACAAUGGGCGCAAGCCUGAUGCAGCGACGCCGCGUGAGGGAUGACGGCCUUCGGGUUGUAAACCUCUUUCAGCACCGACGAAGCGCAAGUGACGGUAGGUGCAGAAGAAGGACCGGCCAACUACGUGCCAGCCGCCGCAGUAA